Oncorhynchus keta (chum salmon) is the source of this 580-nucleotide long non-coding RNA. RefSeq lists it as uncharacterized. The transcript has 3 exons. NCBI's taxonomy places the organism in Eukaryota, Metazoa, Chordata, Actinopteri, Salmoniformes, Salmonidae. The record is from RefSeq and is a predicted model, not a curated record.
GGUAGUGAAAGAGAAGGUAUAGACUGAGAGAUGGAGAAAGAGAGGAGGGGGUAGUGAAAGAGAAGGUAUAGACUGAGAGAUGGAGAAAGAGAGGAGGGGGUAGUGAAAGAGAAGGUAUAGACUGAGAGAUGGAGAAAGAGAGGAGGGGGUAGUGAAAGAGAAGGUAUAGACUGAGAGAUGGAGAAAGAGAGGAGGGGGUAGUGAAAGAGAAGGUAUAGACUGAGAGAUGGAGAAAGAGAGGAGGGGGUAGUGAAAGAGAAGGUAUAGACUGAGAGAUGGAGAAAGAGAGGAGGGGGUAGUGAAAGAGAAGGUAUAGACUGAGAGAUGGAGAAAGAGAGGAGGGGGUAGUGAAAGAGAAGGUAUAGACUGAGAGAUGGAGAAAGAGAGGAGGGGGUAGUGAAAGAGAAGGUAUAGACUGAGAGAUGGAGAAAGAGAGGAGGGGGUAGUGAAAGAGAAGGUAUAGACUGAGAGAUGGAGAAAGAGAGGAGGGGGUAGUGAAAGAGAAGGUAUAGACUGAGAGAUGGAGAAAGAGAGGAGGGGUAGUGAAAGAGAAGGUAUAGACAGAGAUGGAGAAAGAGAG